CCAAUAGCGUAUAUUAAAGUUGUUGCAGUUAAAAAGCUCGUAGUUGAAUUUCGGAGUUUGUCAAUUGGUCGGGCUUCACUGUCCGUACUGAUUCGAUGGAUUCUUACCUUCUGAAUAACCUUCAUGCCAUUAAUUUGGUGCGUUGGGGAAGCAGAGCUAUUACCUUGAAAAAAUUAGAGUGCUUAAAGCAGGCUUUUGCUUGAAUAGAUUAGCAUGGAAUAAUGAAAUAGGACGGCAUGGUUCUAUUUUGUUGGUUUCUAGGAUCACCGUAAUGAUUAAUAGGGAUAGUUGGGGGCAUUAGUAUUCAAUUGUCAGAGGUGAAAUUCUUGGAUUUAUUGAAGACUAACUACUGCGAAAGCAUUUGCCAAGGAUGUUUUCAUUAAUCAAGAACGAAAGUUAGGGGAUCGAAGACGAUCAGAUACCGUCGUAGUCUUAACCAUAAACUAUGCCGACUAGGGAUCGGACGAAGUUAAUUUUUUAAUGACUCGUUCGGCGCCUUACG
This 502-nucleotide ribosomal RNA is filed under the name uncultured Glomeromycotina. RNAcentral describes it as "partial small subunit ribosomal RNA". It matches the Rfam family "Eukaryotic small subunit ribosomal RNA", at positions 591 to 1092 of the family's 1831-position model. Lineage: Eukaryota; Fungi; Glomeromycota. The record is from RNAcentral.